GCUCUGCCGGCGGUACCGGGGCCGGCCCUGACCUGCCACCCCCGUCCUGCUGCAGUUUGACAUCCAGCAAGCCCAGAUCUACUGUGACGCCGAGCUGGCCAGGCAGGAGGGGUGCUGCGAGAUCUCAGCCGGUGGGUGCCAGACAGAAGCACCCAAGACUCGCCGGCAAGCGGAGCUGAUGCAGAGCAGCAACCUCAUCGAGAUGGUGCCGCAGCCCGAGGGCCGGGUGUUCACCCGCUGCUUCUGCCUGGAGGAGCCGCUGGGCACCGUGAGCUCCAGCAGCGGCACCUCGGCUCCAUCCCGGUCCCAUCCCCGCCUCCGACCCCAUCCCCGCCUCCGACCCCAUCCCCACCCCUGGCCCCAUUCCAUUCCUGGUCCCCAUCCCCUUCCUGGUGCCUGUCCUCAUCUCCAUCUCCAUCCUGGGUCCCCAUCCUGUCCCCAUGCCCAUCUCCACCCCCAACCCCGUCCCCAUCCCAGUCCCCAUCCCAUGCCCGGUUGAUCCAGCCCCUGGAAAAUCCCUGCCUCGCUUUUUCCACCCGGUGCUGCUGAGGGAGGUGUCGGUGGCCGGAGGGAAUGAGGGAGGGGAAGGCUCCUGUGGUCCCAUCCCUGGGGAUCCCAGACCCCUGGAUAACCCAGAGGGAGCACCCCAGAGUGGGAUAAUCCAGGCAGGCACCACCACGAGCUCCUUCUGCCCUACAGGAGCCAGGGAGAAGCUCAGGAAGGACCAGCCUGAGGGACGAUCCCAAGGAAAAGUGCCCUCCCUGCUCACCCCAGGCAGCAUCAGGAAAUGUGAGUGUGGCACUGGACACGGGGACCCCAAGCUGGGCAGGCUGGGCUGUGAACUGGGGGUGGCAAA
This 856-nucleotide long non-coding RNA is filed under the name Parus major (Great Tit). RNAcentral's name for it is "lncRNA (ENSPMJG00000006260.1)". Lineage: Eukaryota; Metazoa; Chordata; Aves; Passeriformes; Paridae. The record is from RNAcentral.